GGGAGAUUAGCUCAGUCUGGCAGAGCGCUACCUCGACAAGGUAGAUGUCACAAGUUCAAAUCUUGUAUCUCCCACAA
RNAcentral lists this transfer RNA (77 nucleotides) under Acidimicrobiaceae bacterium TMED244. Its description in RNAcentral is "tRNA-Val". It matches the Rfam family "tRNA". From Rfam's summary of the family: Transfer RNA (tRNA) molecules are approximately 80 nucleotides in length. Their secondary structure includes four short double-helical elements and three loops (D, anti-codon, and T loops). Further hydrogen bonds mediate the characteristic L-shaped molecular structure. tRNAs have two regions of fundamental functional importance: the anti-codon, which is responsible for specific mRNA codon recognition, and the 3' end, to which the tRNAs corresponding amino acid is attached (by aminoacyl-tRNA synthetases). tRNAs cope with the degeneracy of the genetic code in two manners: having more than one tRNA (with a specific anti-codon) for a particular amino acid; and 'wobble' base-pairing, i.e. permitting non-standard base-pairing at the 3rd anti-codon position. RNAcentral also lists the same sequence under 1 other name. The record is from RNAcentral. Lineage: Bacteria; Bacillati; Actinomycetota; Acidimicrobiia; Acidimicrobiales; Acidimicrobiaceae.